Molecule: ribosomal RNA, 650 nt
Filed under: Polaribacter haliotis
Lineage: Bacteria; Pseudomonadati; Bacteroidota; Flavobacteriia; Flavobacteriales; Flavobacteriaceae
Description: bacterial SSU rRNA
Rfam family: Bacterial small subunit ribosomal RNA
Source: RNAcentral
GCAGCACGUCUUCGGAUGGUGGCGACCGGCGCACGGGUGCGUAACGCGUAUAGAACUUACCUUUUACAGGGGAAUAGCCUUUAGAAAUGAAGAUUAAUGCCCCAUAGUAUUGCGAUUUGGCAUCGAAUUGUAAUUAAAGAUUUAUCGGUAAAAGAUGGCUAUGCGUCCUAUUAGUUAGAUGGUAAGGUAACGGCUUACCAUGGCGAUGAUAGGUAGGGGUCCUGAGAGGGAGAUCCCCCACACUGGUACUGAGACACGGACCAGACUCCUACGGGAGGCAGCAGUGAGGAAUAUUGGACAAUGGUGGUAACACUGAUCCAGCCAUGCCGCGUGCAGGAAGACUGCCCUAUGGGUUGUAAACUGCUUUUAUACAGGAAGAAACACACCUACGUGUAGGUGCUUGACGGUACUGUAAGAAUAAGCACCGGCUAACUCCGUGCCAGCAGCCGCGGUAAUACGGAGGGUGCAAGCGUUAUCCGGAAUCAUUGGGUUUAAAGGGUCCGCAGGCGGUCGAUUAAGUCAGAGGUGAAAUCCCAUAGCUUAACUAUGGAACUGCCUUUGAUACUGGUUGACUUGAGUCAUAUGGAAGUAGAUAGAAUGUGUAGUGUAGCGGUGAAAUGCAUAGAUAUUACACAGAAUACCGAUUGCGA